GCAGAACUAAUGUUUAGAGGUGGUUUCUUCUAUAUAUAGAGGAGUUUUGGCAUCAGAAAUAUUCAUUCUUUUAGUAUGGGGUCUAUUGGUCUCCUGGUUGUUUUUUCUUUGGGGAUGGCACUUGGGUCUUCGGCCUAUCAAAUGCCGAUACAAGAGGAUAGGAGGAUUUUCCAAAGCCAGAAACAAUUAGCUCAAAUGAAUUUUGCAAUGUAUCAGCAAAUACAACUGGAUCAGGAAACCGUAGAUCGCCAAAUAGUCCAAAAAGAGUUGGCACUACAGAUGGCCUCUAAACAGUUGUUCGAAAUUCAGCAAAAGUUGGUGGAAACCCAACGGCGACUAUCGGGUUGUCAACCGCAGCAGGAAACCAGCUAUGGAAACCAGCUCUUGGCUUCGAUAUAAUGCCAAAAUUUUCUGGCGACCCAACAGAAAUGAGAAGGUUUUUAUUAUGCCAUUUGACCCACCAAUUCGGCAGAUUGAUGGAUCCACUUAUCUAGCCCUGAAAAUAAAGCAAUUUUUUCCUUUUCUUUA
Drosophila pseudoobscura is the source of this 528-nucleotide long non-coding RNA. RefSeq lists it as uncharacterized. The record is from RefSeq and is a predicted model, not a curated record. The transcript is spliced from 2 exons. NCBI's taxonomy places the organism in Eukaryota, Metazoa, Arthropoda, Insecta, Diptera, Drosophilidae.